Molecule: non-coding RNA, 153 nt
Filed under: Vibrio gazogenes ATCC 43941
Lineage: Bacteria; Pseudomonadati; Pseudomonadota; Gammaproteobacteria; Vibrionales; Vibrionaceae
Description: DABA-DC-AT RNA
Rfam family: DABA-DC-AT RNA
Source: RNAcentral
ACAAUCUCGGAGUGAAUAGCACUUUCUGGGGGAUACGCGUAGUGAACAUUCAGGCUGAUUGUGUCAUUACGUAGGGUAGGUAUCAGCAAGUCCUUUUGUUGAUAGACGGGAUACUCUAGUCGUGGGAGCGGCAUCAAAAUGGGAAACCCAACA